UACCUCUGGUGUACCAGUUGUCGUGCCAACGGCAUAGCUGGGUAGCUAUGUGUGGACGGGAUAAGUGCUGAAAGCAUCUAAGCAUGAAGCCCCCCUCAAGAUGAGAUUUCCCAACUUCGGUUAUAAGAUCCCUCAAAGAUGAUGAGGUUAAUAGGUUCGAGGUGGAAGCAUGGUGACAUGUGGAGCUGACGAAUACUAAUCGAUCGAAGACUUAAUCAAAA
This 221-nucleotide ribosomal RNA is filed under the name Staphylococcus aureus. RNAcentral describes it as "partial 23S ribosomal RNA". It matches the Rfam family "Bacterial large subunit ribosomal RNA", at positions 2704 to 2925 of the family's 2925-position model. The record is from RNAcentral. Lineage: Bacteria; Bacillati; Bacillota; Bacilli; Caryophanales; Staphylococcaceae.